RNAcentral lists this long non-coding RNA (1244 nucleotides) under Sus scrofa (pig). RNAcentral describes it as "lncRNA (ENSSSCG00045010668.1)". The record is from RNAcentral. Lineage: Eukaryota; Metazoa; Chordata; Mammalia; Artiodactyla; Suidae.
AUGGAGGUUCUAGGGGGUCCAACUGAAGAUACAGCUGCGGCCUACACCACAGCCACAGCAACACCAGAUCUGAGCUGUGUCUGUGUCCUAUACCACAGCUCAUGGCAACACCGGAUCCUUAACCCACAGAGUGGGGCCAGGGAUCAAACCCACAACCUCAUGGCUCCUAGUCAGAUUCAUUUCUGCUUCGCCACAAUGGGAGCCCCCAUCUUGAGAAUUCUUAAGACUUCUGUGGAGGAGGAAAAACUGUCUCAACAUGUUUAUUUUAUAAUUGUUUUAAAUUAUCAAUUACACAUCAUUGAAACUUCUAUAAAAUCAUCAGGGUGUUCUUGCUGUAAGAGCUAGGGGGUCACUGGACAUAAAGACAGGGUUGACUUUGACUUCAUUUUUGUACCUGUUAUCUUCUUCAGGACAUUUGCAGAACCUUCCCAGUACUUUGUUAUGCUUCUGCUGUCAAUCAGUAUCUCUCAUAAAAACAUGACUUGGGAAGUUCCCUUGUGGCAUAGUGGGUAAGGAUCUAGCAUUUUCCCUGUUGUGACUCAGGUGGCUACUAUGGCAUGAGUUUGAUCCUUGUCCUGGGAACUUCCACAUGCUUUGGGCACAGCACCCAACAUCCCAAAGAAAAAAUGUGACUUGGAAAGUGAAGAACUUCAUCAUUUGUUUGUAUGUUGCCUGUAACUUAGAGAUAUAACUGAAGUUCAUGGUAGAGCUAUUUUCAUUCAUUGGCUGCCCCUGAAAGGUAAGGGAACUACUUUAACCUUGAGACAAAUCAACUCUGAGCUAGACUGAGCCCAGAAUUCACACUCCUCCCACACACUCCCUCAAAUUCUGUUUUGUGAGUGGAUUAUCUCCUACCUGCUUGUUAAUCUGAUUUCUAGAAUCUAUUUCUGGCCUCAGGCACUGACUGAUAGAGGAAACUAUGUACUAUCUGGCAACUGAAUUCUGUUCCUCUAAUGAAACAAGGUCAAAAUGCCUUAGAGUCCUAUCUAGGAAGAGUGCCUUCAAAGGUACAGAGUUGUGAUUUUCUACACACUAUGAAUGAAAAUGUGGGCUUUGGAGUCAGAUCAUCUGGAAUGGAACCCUGGAUCUACCUCUUGGGUAGCUUGAAUCAAGCUGUCUUUACUAAAAUCCAGUUUCUUGUAUGUAAACAGGAGAUACUUACAGUACUUGUUGCAUAGGUUACUUGUUGGAAUUAAAUGACUUACUGCAUGGAGAGUCUGGCUCACACAUAGUAAGUGCUCAAC